Molecule: transfer RNA, 69 nt
Filed under: Rallus aquaticus
Lineage: Eukaryota; Metazoa; Chordata; Aves; Gruiformes; Rallidae
Description: tRNA-Glu
Source: RNAcentral
GUUCUUAUAGUUGAAGUGACAACGUGGCUUUUCAAGCCACAGAUCUUGGAGAGAUGCCAAGUGAGAAUA